AAGGAGAAACAGAAGAACAGCAACAACAAUAACAAGAACAUUAAGAGACUGAACACAGACGAAAAAAUAAACUAAAAUCAAUCGUGUGUAAAUCUUUAGUCACGGAACUCCCAAUCAAUCAGUCAAUCAAUCCAUCAAUCAAAUCUCCUCAUGAUUACCUGACAUUACCUGAAACACCUGAAAAUAUCACCAGGAGUUAUGAAUGUGGUGGCGGUAGUAGCGGUGGUGGUGGUGAUGGUAGUGACAGUAGUAGAAGGGGACCCGCGCGUGACAGUGUGCUCUCAGCGUGACUUACGAAACACUAUCAGUAAUUUAUGCAGCAUCAGAAGACAGCGAUCUAUCUGGUCUUUCCUAUUCUCCUCCUCCUCUCCUCCUUCUUCCUCCUCCUCUUCUCAUCAAUCAAUUUUCUUCCCUCAUACCUUCACUUACUCAGACUCUUCAACUUCUUCCUCCUCCUCCUCCUCCUCCUCCUCCUCCUCCUCUUCCUUGCUGACACAUCUGGGUAUUAAAGGAAGGCCUAGGACACACAGCACCCAAGAAGACACCACCGAGGGACUCACAAGGACGUACCCUCUUAUUCUACCAUCUCUAGUGGGGCGUGGGGACGUGGGUUUGUCUAUGCAUGGGGCUGAGGGCGUGGGGAGGCAUCGAGUGGGUGCUGGCGGGCGUAGAAGUAGGUGGAGGGUGGGUAAGAACAAGUGGUGGGUGAACAAAGACGUAAUCAAGAGACAUUUCCUGACGAAGAGAAAAGUUCGGACGCUUGGUGAUUUGCGCAGGAGGUGUUGUGUGCGUGGCUGUCUGGAGAGUGAGCUGCUGUCCGCGUGUAUAUGAGAGAGAGAAAGAGAGAGGGGGGGAAAGGUGAAGGGGUAGUGAUCACGCUUAUAACUUCCUAUAUCAGUAGAAAAACAACAAUUAAUACUAUAUAGGAUCUCAUACAAAAAGACAUUGGGUUCUUGUACUCUUUCUCCUCAUAAAAAUACAUGUAAAAUAAAGAAAUAAACUAGAAACUAA
Portunus trituberculatus (swimming crab) is the source of this 1011-nucleotide long non-coding RNA. RefSeq lists it as uncharacterized. NCBI's taxonomy places the organism in Eukaryota, Metazoa, Arthropoda, Malacostraca, Decapoda, Portunidae. The transcript is spliced from 2 exons. The record is from RefSeq and is a predicted model, not a curated record.